GAAACUAACAAGGAUUCCCUCAGUAGCGGCGAGCGAAGAGGGAAGAGCCCAGCGCCGAAUCCCCGCCCGGCGGUCGGGCGUGGGAAAUGUGGCGUACGGAAGUCCGCUUGCCCGGUGUCGGCAGGGGGUCUGAGUCCUUCUGAUAGAGGCUCAACCCGUAGACGGUGUGAGGCCGGUAAUGGCACCCGUCGCGCCGGGGUCCGGUCUUCUCGGAGUCGGGUUGUUUGUGAAUGCAGCCCAAAGCGGGUGGUAAACUCCAUCUAAGGCUAAAUACCGGCGCGAGACCGAUAGUCGACAAGUACCU
This 304-nucleotide ribosomal RNA is filed under the name Spinachia spinachia (sea stickleback). RNAcentral's name for it is "eukaryotic LSU rRNA". It matches the Rfam family "Eukaryotic large subunit ribosomal RNA", at positions 61 to 353 of the family's 3401-position model. Lineage: Eukaryota; Metazoa; Chordata; Actinopteri; Perciformes; Gasterosteidae. The record is from RNAcentral.